Non-coding RNA from Ricinus communis (castor bean), 106 nucleotides. The record is from Rfam. NCBI's taxonomy places the organism in Eukaryota, Viridiplantae, Streptophyta, Magnoliopsida, Malpighiales, Euphorbiaceae.
ACUCUAUGGUGAGGGUAGCAUCUAAGUAGGUCCUUAUAUCUCUCCCAGGUGUCGUACAUAGACUCAUCAUCAAACUGCACAAAGAAGAUAUGUCAUUUCUAAGUUU